RNAcentral lists this ribosomal RNA (1551 nucleotides) under Salmonella enterica. Its description in RNAcentral is "bacterial SSU rRNA". It matches the Rfam family "Bacterial small subunit ribosomal RNA". The record is from RNAcentral. Lineage: Bacteria; Pseudomonadati; Pseudomonadota; Gammaproteobacteria; Enterobacterales; Enterobacteriaceae.
AAAUUGAAGAGUUUGAUCAUGGCUCAGAUUGAACGCUGGCGGCAGGCCUAACACAUGCAAGUCGAACGGUAACAGGAAGCAGCUUGCUGCUUCGCUGACGAGUGGCGGACGGGUGAGUAAUGUCUGGGAAACUGCCUGAUGGAGGGGGAUAACUACUGGAAACGGUGGCUAAUACCGCAUAACGUCGCAAGACCAAAGAGGGGGACCUUCGGGCCUCUUGCCAUCAGAUGUGCCCAGAUGGGAUUAGCUUGUUGGUGAGGUAACGGCUCACCAAGGCGACGAUCCCUAGCUGGUCUGAGAGGAUGACCAGCCACACUGGAACUGAGACACGGUCCAGACUCCUACGGGAGGCAGCAGUGGGGAAUAUUGCACAAUGGGCGCAAGCCUGAUGCAGCCAUGCCGCGUGUAUGAAGAAGGCCUUCGGGUUGUAAAGUACUUUCAGCGGGGAGGAAGGUGUUGUGGUUAAUAACCGCAGCAAUUGACGUUACCCGCAGAAGAAGCACCGGCUAACUCCGUGCCAGCAGCCGCGGUAAUACGGAGGGUGCAAGCGUUAAUCGGAAUUACUGGGCGUAAAGCGCACGCAGGCGGUCUGUCAAGUCGGAUGUGAAAUCCCCGGGCUCAACCUGGGAACUGCAUUCGAAACUGGCAGGCUUGAGUCUUGUAGAGGGGGGUAGAAUUCCAGGUGUAGCGGUGAAAUGCGUAGAGAUCUGGAGGAAUACCGGUGGCGAAGGCGGCCCCCUGGACAAAGACUGACGCUCAGGUGCGAAAGCGUGGGGAGCAAACAGGAUUAGAUACCCUGGUAGUCCACGCCGUAAACGAUGUCUACUUGGAGGUUGUGCCCUUGAGGCGUGGCUUCCGGAGCUAACGCGUUAAGUAGACCGCCUGGGGAGUACGGCCGCAAGGUUAAAACUCAAAUGAAUUGACGGGGGCCCGCACAAGCGGUGGAGCAUGUGGUUUAAUUCGAUGCAACGCGAAGAACCUUACCUGGUCUUGACAUCCACAGAAGAAUCCAGAGAUGGAUUGGUGCCUUCGGGAACUGUGAGACAGGUGCUGCAUGGCUGUCGUCAGCUCGUGUUGUGAAAUGUUGGGUUAAGUCCCGCAACGAGCGCAACCCUUAUCCUUUGUUGCCAGCGAUUAGGUCGGGAACUCAAAGGAGACUGCCAGUGAUAAACUGGAGGAAGGUGGGGAUGACGUCAAGUCAUCAUGGCCCUUACGACCAGGGCUACACACGUGCUACAAUGGCGCAUACAAAGAGAAGCGACCUCGCGAGAGCAAGCGGACCUCAUAAAGUGCGUCGUAGUCCGGAUUGGAGUCUGCAACUCGACUCCAUGAAGUCGGAAUCGCUAGUAAUCGUGGAUCAGAAUGCCACGGUGAAUACGUUCCCGGGCCUUGUACACACCGCCCGUCACACCAUGGGAGUGGGUUGCAAAAGAAGUAGGUAGCUUAACCUUCGGGAGGGCGCUUACCACUUUGUGAUUCAUGACUGGGGUGAAGUCGUAACAAGGUAACCGUAGGGGAACCUGCGGUUGGAUCACCUCCUUACCUUAAAGA